RNAcentral lists this small RNA (125 nucleotides) under Marmota monax (woodchuck). The record is from RNAcentral. Lineage: Eukaryota; Metazoa; Chordata; Mammalia; Rodentia; Sciuridae.
GCUGGGUGCAGUGGCACAUGCCUGUAAUCCUAGCAGCUCAGGAGGCUGAGACAGGAGGAUCAGGAGUUCAGAUCCAGCCUCAGUAAUAGUGAGGCACUAAGCAACUCAAUAAGACCCUGUCUCUA